Molecule: ribosomal RNA, 484 nt
Filed under: uncultured bacterium
Lineage: Bacteria
Description: partial 16S ribosomal RNA
Rfam family: Bacterial small subunit ribosomal RNA
Source: RNAcentral
AUUGAACGCUGGCGGAAUGCUUUACACAUGCAAGUCGAACGGCAGCACGGGGGCAACCCUGGUGGCGAGUGGCGAACGGGUGAGUAAUACAUCGGAACGUGCCCGGUCGUGGGGGAUAACGUAGCGAAAGUUACGCUAAUACCGCUUACGAUCUGAGGAUGAAAGCGGGGGACCUUCGGGCCUCGCGCGAUCGGAGCGGCCGAUGUCAGAUUAGGUAGUUGGUGGGGUAAAGGCCUACCAAGCCGACGAUCUGUAGCUGGUCUGAGAGGACAACCAGCCACACUGGGACUGAGACACGGCCCAGACUCCUACGGGAGGCAGCAGUGGGGAAUUUUGGACAAUGGGCGCAAGCCUGAUCCAGCCAUUCCGCGUGCAGGACGAAGGCCUUCGGGUUGUAAACUGCUUUUGUAUGGAACGAAAAGGCUCUGGCUAAUACCUGGGGCUCAUGACGGUACCGUAAGAAUAAGCACCGGCUAACUACGUG